AUGCCUCACUUCAUUAACCAAUGAAUAAUGUCAUUACAUUAGUUGAAAAAUUAUAAAAAAAAACUCAUUGCAUCACUUAUGCGAUUGGCUUGUAGGAUACUCUUCUUUCAAUCUUCUUUCAAUCCUAUGCUAUCAAGAUGGUGAUCAAAUAGAUGUUGUGGCCUUAGUGAAUGGGUCUACUAUAUUGCUCUUUGUAUCAACUCAUUUUAAGACAACAUCUUGUCUUUCAAUAAUUUUUCGAACG
RNAcentral lists this long non-coding RNA (244 nucleotides) under Elaeis guineensis (African oil palm). RNAcentral describes it as "long non-coding RNA (EGUI_LNC044630)". The record is from RNAcentral. Lineage: Eukaryota; Viridiplantae; Streptophyta; Magnoliopsida; Arecales; Arecaceae.